Bos taurus (domestic cattle) is the source of this 977-nucleotide long non-coding RNA. Lineage: Eukaryota; Metazoa; Chordata; Mammalia; Artiodactyla; Bovidae. The record is from Ensembl.
GUGUUAGCUCAUCGCAUCCCCAGGACGGCCCCAGCGGGUGGGUCUCAUCGUCCCAUCGUCCCAUCGUCCCAGACGGGGAGAGCCAGGCUUGAGGAGGCAGGGUGGCCAGUGCCUGCUGUGUCCAGGCAGGGGGACCCCUGCGCCUCACCUUUGUCAUCCUGCCUCCCCUGAAGAAACCAUGUGAUGGGAUCAGGCCGUGGGGUCUCCCAGCCCAGAAUCCAGCCAUCUGCCCAGAGUGACGCGGGGUCAUCCAAGUUCUGAACCCAGGAUGGAGUCUGCAGAGCCCCCAGGGAAGCCAAAAGAUCCUCAUUAUUCCGCGGGAUCCUCACCCCAAAAUAAAGAUAACCCAGAGUAAGACUGCCACCGUCCACCACACAAAACCCAGCAAGAAGGACUUUAUUCCAGCCGGGGCAGACUCUGCCCACACCGCCCGUUACGCUUCUCAGCACCCAGAGGGCUUUCUUUUCUUCCUCUGUUUGUCCUGGGCACUAUACUCAGAGCCAGACGCAGGAACUUCAAAAGCAGCCAGGAACGAUUUCCCGGGCACAGCCAAGGGCGUUCUAUCAGAAGGGACGUGCUCACAGUCCCUGGGAAGGGGUGACAGAAAGCGUCCUCCAGGAAGCAUCUCCCCCCACGGCUGGCCCAGCGUGCCCCCCACCAGUCUGGAUCCGGCGCCCCAGGGCUCUCUCCACAAACACAGCAGACACCGAGAGUGGGGCUGGCACACGUUUCUGCAAUCCCCAGAACAGAACUUUUCACCAACUUGAGACAGAGAGCGCGAGUCCCGGCUGCCCAGGUGGCACCAGUGAUGUGAGCGGCGAUCCAACGGCAGGUCCCUCCUGCCCACAAGAGUCAGCCCUUCUGCUUCUGGCGGACCCCAGCUCGGCCCGGUGGCCAGCACACCCGGCCCAGCUCCCUCCACGCCGGAUCCAGGGCAGAGCUGCUGUGGCCCCGGAACCCCCCAGACCCAGCGGCGG